RNAcentral lists this unclassified non-coding RNA (299 nucleotides) under uncultured fungus. RNAcentral's name for it is "partial contains 5.8S ribosomal RNA, internal transcribed spacer 2, and large subunit ribosomal RNA". The stretch from base 1 to 52 matches the Rfam family "5.8S ribosomal RNA", at positions 103 to 154 of the family's 154-position model. Lineage: Eukaryota; Fungi. The record is from RNAcentral.
AACGCAUCUUGCGCUCCUUGGUAUUCCGAGGAGCAUGCCUGUUUGAGUGUCAUGGUAUUCUCAAUCCAUUCUGGAUUUUUGAAAAGAAAUCUGUUUGGGUUGGAUAUGGAGGUUUAAUGUUGGUUAUAUUCAAUCAACUCCUCUGAAAUACAUCAGUAGAAAUAAAAUGCUGUCUUCAGUGUGAUAAUUAUCUGCAUUGUGGAAUGGCGUAUGAAGUUUCUGCUUCCAACUGUCUGUUUGCUCAGACAUUUAUUAUGACAUCUGACCUCAAAUCAGGUAGGAUUACCCGCUGAACUUAA